UUCGUUUGAUGAAGGCGACAU
Non-coding RNA from Caenorhabditis elegans, 21 nucleotides. The record is from Ensembl. NCBI's taxonomy places the organism in Eukaryota, Metazoa, Nematoda, Chromadorea, Rhabditida, Rhabditidae.